UGAGUACGAGACGCUAAGGCGUCGAAGUAGUGGAUGUCAUACUUCCAAGAAAAGCUUGCACUGUCAUAAGUAAAAAACGCCUGUACCAUAACCGACACAGGUGGGUAGGUAGAGUAUACUAAGGGGCGCGAGAUAACUCUCUCUAAGGAACUCGGCAAAAUAACUCCGUAACUUCGGGAGAAGGAGUGCCUUAUUCGUAAGGCUGCAAUAACAAGAUCCAAGCAACUGUUUAUCAAAAACACAGGUCUCCGCUAAGUCGUAAGACGAUGUAUGGGGGCUGACGCCUGCCCAGUGCCAGAAGGUUAAAGAAGUCGGUUAGCAUUAGCGAAGCUGGUAACUGAAGCCCUGGUGAACGGCGGCCGUAACAAUAACGGUCCUAAGGUAGCGAAAUUCCUUGUCGGGUAAGUUCCGACCCGCACGAAAGGCGUAAUGAUUUGGAUACUGUCUCGGAGAGGGGCUCGGUGAAAUAGACUUGUCUGUGAAGAUGCGGACUACCUGCACCAGGACAGAAAGACCCUAUGAAGCUUUGCUGUAACUUGAAAUUGAAAUUGGACUUUAUUCGCGCAGUAUAGGUGGGAGGUGUUGAUUAUAAUCUUGCGGGAUUAUUGGAGCCAUCAGUGAGAUACCACUCUUGUAAUGUUAGAUUUCUAACUUUGAAUCAUUAUCUGGUCAAAGAACAGUUUCAGGCGGGCAGUUUGACUGGGGCGGUCGCCUCCUAAAUGGUAACGGAGGCGUACAAGGUUUCCUCUGAACGGGUAGAAAUCGUAUCUAGAGUGUAAAGGCAUAAGGAAGCUUGACUGUGAGACCUACAAGUCGAGCAGGGACGAAAGUCGGUCUUAGUGAUCUGACGGUACUGAGUGGAAAGGCCGUCACUCAACGGAUAAAAGUUACUCUAGGGAUAACAGGCUGAUCUCCCCCAAGAGUUCACAUCGACGGGGAGGUUUGGCACCUCGAUGUCGGCUCAUCGCAUCCUGGGGCGGUAGUACGUCCCAAGGGUUGGGCUGUUCGCCCAUGAAAGCGGUACGCGAGCUGGGUUCAGAACGUCGUGAGACAGUUCGGUCCACAUCCGGUGUAGGCGUUAGAAUAUUGAGAGGAGCCUUCUUUAGUACGAGAGGACCGAGAAGGACAUACCUCUGGUGUACCAGUUAUCGUGCCAACGGUAAACGCUGGGUAGCUAUGUAUGGAGUGGAUAACCGCUGAAAGCAUCUAAGUGGGAAGCCCACCUCAAGAUAAG
Molecule: ribosomal RNA, 1234 nt
Filed under: metagenome
Description: bacterial LSU rRNA
Rfam family: Bacterial large subunit ribosomal RNA
Source: RNAcentral